CCUACGGGUGGCAGCAGUUUCGAAUUUUUCGCAAUGGGCGAAAGCCUGACGGAGCGACGCCGCGUGGGGGAUGAAGGUCUUCGGAUUGUAAACCCCUGUCAGCUGGGAACAACGCCUGGGUGCCAACACCAUCCAGGUUUGAUAGUACCGGCAGAGGAAGCCGUGGCUAACUCUGUGCCAGCAGCCGCGGUAAUACAGAGACGGCAAGCGUUGUUCGGAUUUAUUGGGCGUAAAGGGUCCGCAGGUGGCGAGGUAAGUCUGACGUGAAAUCCCGCGGCUUAACCGCGGAACUGCAUCGGAAACUGCCUUGCUAGAGGUUGGUAGAGGAGUCUGGAAUUCACGGUGUAGCGGUGAAAUGCGUAGAUAUCGUGAGGAACACCGCUGGCGAAGGCGAGACUCUGGGCCAUACCUGACACUCAGGGACGAAAGCGUGGGGAGCAAACGGGAUUAGAUACCCCAGUAGU
This 464-nucleotide ribosomal RNA is filed under the name uncultured Verrucomicrobiota bacterium. RNAcentral describes it as "uncultured Verrucomicrobia bacterium partial 16S ribosomal RNA". It matches the Rfam family "Bacterial small subunit ribosomal RNA", at positions 338 to 794 of the family's 1533-position model. Lineage: Bacteria; Pseudomonadati; Verrucomicrobiota. The record is from RNAcentral.